UACGGAGGGUGCGAGCGUUACUCGGAAUUACUGGGCGUAAAGCGUGCGUAGACGGUUAUUUAAGUCGGGUGUGAAAGCCCCGGGCUCAACCUGGGAAUUGCAUUCGAGACUGAAUAGCUAGAGUACGGUAGAGGGAAGCGGAAUUUCCGGUGUAGCGGUGAAAUGCGUAGAUAUCGGAAGGAACAUCAGUGGCGAAAGCGGCUUCCUGGACCAGUACCGACGUUCAGGCACGAAAGCGUGGGGAGCAAACAGG
Molecule: ribosomal RNA, 253 nt
Filed under: uncultured bacterium
Lineage: Bacteria
Description: partial 16S ribosomal RNA
Rfam family: Bacterial small subunit ribosomal RNA
Source: RNAcentral